CAGUCGAACGGAGUACGAGAGCAGAAGGUUUCGGCUGGAAGUUUGAAAUACUUAGUGGCGGACGGGUGAGUAACGCGUGGGUAACGUACCUAUCAGAGGGGAAUAACAAUGAGAAAUCAGUGCUAAUACCGCAUAAGGUUCAGUCAUCGCAUGAUGGCAGAAGGAAAGGUGGCGGACUCGAGAGAGGCUAUCGCUGAUAGAGCGACCCGCGUCUGAUUAGCUAGUUGGUGGGGUAAAGGCCUACCAAGGCGACGAUCAGUAGCCGGCCUGAGAGGGUGGACGGCCACAUUGGGACUGAGACACGGCCCAAACUCCUACGGGAGGCAGCAGUGGGGAAUCUUCCGCAAUGGGCGCAAGCCUGACGGAGCAAUGCCGCGUGAACGAAGAAGGUCUUCGGAUUGUAAAGUUCUGUCCUUAUCGAAGAGAGGGUAUAGAGUGAAAAAUGAUAUACUAGGACGGUAGAUGAGGAGGAAGCCCCGGCUAACUACGUGCCAGCAGCCGCGGUAAUACGUAGGGGGCGAGCGUUGUCCGGAAUCACUGGGCGUAAAGGGCGCGUAGGCGGUAAUAUAAGUCAGAUGUGAAAGGUGGGGGCUCAACCCCUAGAGUGCAACUGAUACUGUAUAACUUGAGUGUGAGAGAGGGAAGCGGAAUUCCUAGUGUAGCGGUGAAAUGCGUAGAUAUUAGGAGGAACACCAGUGGCGAAGGCGGCUUUCUGGCUCAUAACUGACGCUGAGGCGCGAAAGCGUGGGGAGCAAACAGGAUUAGAUACCCUGGUAGUCCACGCCGUANACGAUGGGUACUAGGUGUUAGGGGNUUCGAUGCCCUU
RNAcentral lists this ribosomal RNA (826 nucleotides) under uncultured bacterium. Its description in RNAcentral is "bacterial SSU rRNA". It matches the Rfam family "Bacterial small subunit ribosomal RNA", at positions 59 to 841 of the family's 1533-position model. The record is from RNAcentral.